AUUGAACGCUGGCGGCAGGCCUAACACAUGCAAGUCGAGCGGAGCGGCGGACGGGUGAGUAAUGCCUAGGAAUCUGCCUGGUAGUGGGGGAUAACGUCCGGAAACGGGCGCUAAUACCGCAUACUAUCAGAUGAGCCUAGGUCGGAUUAGCUAGUUGGUGGGGUAAAGGCCUACCAAGGCGACGAUCCGUAACUGGUCUGAGAGGAUGAUCAGUCAAAAUGGAACUGAGACACGGGCGCGACUCCGACGGGAGUAAGCAGGGGGGAGUAUUGGACAAUGGUCGAAAGCCUGAUCCAGACAUUCGUCGGGUGUGAAGAAUGUCUUCGGAGUGUAAAGCACUUUAAGUUGGGAGGCGUUACCAACAGAAUAAGCACCGGCUAACUUCGUGCCAGCAGCCGCGGUAAUUC
This 407-nucleotide ribosomal RNA is filed under the name uncultured bacterium. RNAcentral's name for it is "partial 16S ribosomal RNA". It matches the Rfam family "Bacterial small subunit ribosomal RNA", at positions 30 to 526 of the family's 1533-position model. The record is from RNAcentral.